This 1530-nucleotide ribosomal RNA is filed under the name Pantoea sp. RNAcentral's name for it is "partial 16S ribosomal RNA". The stretch from base 342 to 1530 matches the Rfam family "Bacterial small subunit ribosomal RNA". Lineage: Bacteria; Pseudomonadati; Pseudomonadota; Gammaproteobacteria; Enterobacterales; Erwiniaceae. The record is from RNAcentral.
GGGCAUGGCGCUGCCUACCAUGCAGUCGGACGGUAGCACAGAUGAUUUGGCCUGGUGGGUGGUGAGUGGCGGAUGGGUGAUACGUGUGAGGUGUCUGCCAGAGAGGGGGGGAUCGGCUGUGGACGGAGUGGCUUAUCCCACAAUCUAUCGAUAAAACCGAGGGGGCUACCUUCCUCCCUCUCUAUGGUUGAUGAACCCCAUAUGGGAUUUAGUUCUCUAGGUGGCGGGAACGGCCUACCCAUGUGACAAACUGAUCCCCUCAGGUCUGUCUGAACGAGGAAUGACCCACCCCACUCUCGGAAUCUGACGACAGGGUCCACACCUUCCUACCGAGAGGGCAUCCAGUCGUGGUAUUAUUUCUGCACUCGAUGGGCAGCCAUGCAUCCAUGCCAUGCGUGCCGUGUGUGUAGGAAAACUGUUUUCGGUUUGUAACUUAACUUUGAGUCGGAAAAUAGUGGCGAUGCUGGUUAAAUACGCGGGAUGAUUGGACUUUACCCGCAAAAAACAAGCACCCGGCUAACCCUGUGCCCAGACAGCGCGGACACGCAGAGUGUGCAAGCGUUAAUCGGAAUUAUUGACUGCGCGUAAAGCACGCACACGCGCUGUGUUCACUCAUAUGUGAAAUCCCGCGGGCUUAACCUGCUGACUGCAUGCUUUUGACAGUGACGUGCUAGUGUCUCGAAGAGGGGGAAAAUAACUCGUGUGUGUAGCGAAAUAAGUGCAAAUAUAUGUGGAAAAAAUAAUGGGGGGGAGGAAGGCCCCCUCGGUGCAAUAAAGACUGACUCUCAUGAGAGAAAGUGUGGGGAGCGAACAAGACUAGAAUACAUCCGCGUGGCCCCCCCCUACAUAAAGUAUACCCAUUUGUGGGGUUUCCUUUUGUUGAGUGUCUUGCUGAGCCAACAAGUUGACUCCCCCGCGUGGAGAGUAGCGACACUGAGACUAAAACUGAAGUGAUGUGGGAGCCGCCCCAGCACGCGCAUGAUCGUGCAUGUUAUUUUUAUUGCUAUGCGCCGAACAGUAUCUUACCCUUCUUCAUGAUCUCAUACUGCUGUUAGCAGAUGGUACUGUUCUUAUUACGACAUGCAUGUGACAAGUGCUGCAUGACUGGUCGUCAGCUCGUGCUGUGAAGUUGAGGGUUAAGUACCGCAACACGCACAACUGCUACUAUUGUCAGCCAGCGAUUCGCUCGGACACUCAAAGCAGAUUCACGGUGAUAAACCGGAGGAAGGUGGGGAUGACGUCGAGUCCUUAUGGCCCUUACGAGUAGGGCUACACACGUGAUACAAUGGCGCAUACAAAGAGAAGCGACCUCGCGAGAGCAAGCGGACCUCAUAAAGUGCGUCGUAGUCCGGAUCGGAGUCUGCAACUCGAGUGCCGUGAAGUCGGAAUCGCUAGUAAUCGUGGAUCAGAAUGCCACGGGGAAUACGUUCCCCGGUCCUGGUCCACACCGCCCGUCACCCCAUGGGAGUGGGUUGCACAAGAAGUAGGUAGCUUAACCUCUCGGGAGGGCGCUACUCAGUGGAUCAGUGG